This 72-nucleotide transfer RNA is filed under the name Marmota monax (woodchuck). It matches the Rfam family "tRNA". From Rfam's summary of the family: Transfer RNA (tRNA) molecules are approximately 80 nucleotides in length. Their secondary structure includes four short double-helical elements and three loops (D, anti-codon, and T loops). The record is from Rfam by way of RNAcentral. Lineage: Eukaryota; Metazoa; Chordata; Mammalia; Rodentia; Sciuridae.
GGGGAUAUAGCUCUGAGGUAGAGCUCUUACUUAGCAUGGAUAAGACACUGGGUUCAAUCCCUAGUAUCUCUC